RNAcentral lists this transfer RNA (77 nucleotides) under Blastocatellia bacterium. RNAcentral describes it as "tRNA-Pro". It matches the Rfam family "tRNA". Rfam says of the family: Transfer RNA (tRNA) molecules are approximately 80 nucleotides in length. Their secondary structure includes four short double-helical elements and three loops (D, anti-codon, and T loops). Further hydrogen bonds mediate the characteristic L-shaped molecular structure. tRNAs have two regions of fundamental functional importance: the anti-codon, which is responsible for specific mRNA codon recognition, and the 3' end, to which the tRNAs corresponding amino acid is attached (by aminoacyl-tRNA synthetases). tRNAs cope with the degeneracy of the genetic code in two manners: having more than one tRNA (with a specific anti-codon) for a particular amino acid; and 'wobble' base-pairing, i.e. permitting non-standard base-pairing at the 3rd anti-codon position. RNAcentral also lists the same sequence under 2 other names. The record is from RNAcentral. Lineage: Bacteria; Pseudomonadati; Acidobacteriota; Blastocatellia.
CGGGGCGUGGCCUAGUCCGGUAAGGCGCUCGCUUUGGGAGCGAGAGAUCACUGGUUCGAAUCCAGUCGCCCCGACCA